CUAAUACCUUAUACUCCUUAUUAACAGAAGUUUAAUAAAGGGGAAAGAUUUUAUUGGUAAGAGAUUAGCCUGUAUUGUAUCAGUUAGUUGGUGGGGUAAUGGCUUACCAAGACUAUGACACAUAACUGGGUUUUGAGAGGAUGAUCAGUCACACUGGAACUGAGACACGGUCCAGACUCCUACGGGGAGGCAGCAGGUGGGGAAUAUUGCACAAUGGACGAAAGUCUGAUGCAGCAACGCCGCGUGGAGGAUGACACAUUUCGGUGCGUAAACUCCUUUUAUAUGAGAAGAUAAUGACGGUAUUAUAUGAAUAAGCACCGGCUAACUCCGUG
Molecule: ribosomal RNA, 332 nt
Filed under: uncultured bacterium
Lineage: Bacteria
Description: bacterial SSU rRNA
Rfam family: Bacterial small subunit ribosomal RNA
Source: RNAcentral